GAUGAACGCUGGCGGCGUGCCUAAUACAUGCAAGUCGAGCGAACAGAUGAGGAGCUUGCUCCUCUGACGUUAGCGGCGGACGGGUGAGUAACACGUGGAUAACCUACCUAUAAGACUGGGAUAACUUCGGGAAACCGGAGCUAAUACCGGAUAAUAUAUUGAACCGCAUGGUUCAAUAGUGAAAGACGGUUUUGCUGUCACUUAUAGAUGGAUCCGCGCCGCAUUAGCUAGUUGGUAAGGUAACGGCUUACCAAGGCGACGAUGCGUAGCCGACCUGAGAGGGUGAUCGGCCACACUGGAACUGAGACGCGGUCCAGACUCCUACGGGAGGCAGCAGUAGGGAAUCUUCCGCAAUGGGCGAGAGCCUGACGGAGCAGCGCCGCGUGAGUGAUGAAGGUCUUCGGAUCGUAAAACUCUGUUAUUGGGGAAGAACAAAUGUGUAAGUAACUAUGCACGUCUUGACGGUACCUAGUCAGAAAGCCACGGCUAACUACGUG
RNAcentral lists this ribosomal RNA (497 nucleotides) under uncultured bacterium. Its description in RNAcentral is "partial 16S ribosomal RNA". It matches the Rfam family "Bacterial small subunit ribosomal RNA", at positions 28 to 507 of the family's 1533-position model. The record is from RNAcentral.